Molecule: ribosomal RNA, 439 nt
Filed under: uncultured bacterium
Lineage: Bacteria
Description: partial 16S ribosomal RNA
Rfam family: Bacterial small subunit ribosomal RNA
Source: RNAcentral
CUACGGGGCGCUGCAGUGAGGAAUAUUGCACAAUGGGGGGAGCCCUGAUGCAGCAACGCCGCGUGGAGGAUGACGCAUCUCGGUGUGUAAACUCCUUUUAUAUGUCAAGAAAAUGACGGUAGCAUAUGAAUAAGCACCGGCUAACUCCGUGCCAGCAGCCGCGGUAAUACGGAGGGUGCAAGCGUUACUCGGAAUCACUGGGCGUAAAGGACGCGUAGGCGGGUUGGAAAGUCAGGUGUGAAAUCCUACAGCUUAACUGUAGAACUGCACUUGAAACUUCUAAUCUAGAGUAUGGGAGGGGGGGAUGGAAUUAGUGGUGUAGGGGUAAAAUCCGUAGAUAUCACUAGGAAUACCUAAAGCGAAGGCGAUCUCCUGGAACAUUACUGACGCUAAGGCGUGAAAGCGUGGGGAGCAAACAGGAUUAGAUACCCCGGUAGUC